UACGUAGGUGGCAAGCGUUGUCCGGAAUUACUGGGUGUAAAGGGCGUGUAGGCGGGUAGAUAAGUCAGAUGUGAAAUUCCGAGGCUCAACCUCGGCGCUGCAUCUGAAACUGUUUAUCUUGAGUAUCGGAGAGGAAAGUGGAAUUCCUAGUGUAGCGGUGAAAUGCGUAGAGAUUAGGAGGAACACCAGUGGCGAAGGCGGCUUUCUGGACGAUUACUGACGCUGAGGCGCGAAAGCGUGGGGAGCGAACAGG
This 253-nucleotide ribosomal RNA is filed under the name uncultured bacterium. RNAcentral's name for it is "partial 16S ribosomal RNA". It matches the Rfam family "Bacterial small subunit ribosomal RNA", at positions 524 to 776 of the family's 1533-position model. The record is from RNAcentral.